GAUCAUGGCUCAGGAUGAACGCUGGCGGCGUGCUUAACACAUGCAAGUCGAACGGGGAUUAUUUCAUUGAAGCUUCGGCAGAUUUGGCUUAAUCCUAGUGGCGGACGGGUGAGUAACGCGUGGGUAACCUGCCUUGUACAGGGGGAUAACAGUCAGAAAUGACUGCUAAUACCGCAUAAGCGCACGACGGACCGCAUCGGUCCGGUGUAGAAAACUCGGUGUAUAAGAUCGGACCCGUCGGUUGGUAUUA
This 250-nucleotide ribosomal RNA is filed under the name uncultured bacterium. RNAcentral's name for it is "partial 16S ribosomal RNA". It matches the Rfam family "Bacterial small subunit ribosomal RNA", at positions 15 to 243 of the family's 1533-position model. The record is from RNAcentral.